CUUCUGGAUUAGACGAUAUUAAUUGCUAUAUUUCCCCCAGUUAUACUUGUAACUCAAUAUAAGGCUUCUUUUUUAUGACAUGACGUUGGGUGUACGACCGGAACAGUAGUGCCACUAUUUAAUUGUUUGUUUUUAAAUCUAUUUGAGUUUAUUUGAUCCACUGCCAACGCCACAUGUUAACGUUGUUUUUGAUCACAUUGUCAAUAUUUGGAUAGCCACUUUGAAUCAGAAAAGUUUAUCUUAGAAAUUGAAAAUUGGCUGGUGAAAUAUAUUCCCUCAUAUUCGUUUCUUGGCCAUUUAAAUCUUGCUAAAGCAGUAUCAUUAAUUUAUCAAAUUAAUUAAAUAGACAUUCUUAAAU
Molecule: non-coding RNA, 358 nt
Organism: Cinara cedri
Lineage: Eukaryota; Metazoa; Arthropoda; Insecta; Hemiptera; Aphididae
Source: the annotation of a GenBank genome assembly